RNAcentral lists this long non-coding RNA (10719 nucleotides) under Manihot esculenta (cassava). Its description in RNAcentral is "long non-coding RNA (MESC_LNC008181)". Lineage: Eukaryota; Viridiplantae; Streptophyta; Magnoliopsida; Malpighiales; Euphorbiaceae. The record is from RNAcentral.
UUUAAAAAAAAAAAAAAAUUGACGAUAUUAAAAAUUCAUUGCUAAAUUACCAAUUGAAUUAAAAAUCUAUUGACAAUGGCUUGUGAAAAAAAAUCCUACUUGUUUUUAAUUAGUAAUAAAUUUAUAAUCAUAUGAUAAGUGACUUUAUAUAAACCGAUAAUGUAUAAAAAUAAGAAUUUUCAAGAUACUGACACAUGUAUACGUGAUUGAAAAAGACGCGUGAAUCUCUCCAUCUAAUCCAACCGGAUUAUAUAAAACCUGACCUACAGCGCACAAAUAUUACAUCUUUAGUGCCACCAAUUUUUUUUACACCCAGAAUGAGCAGACCGAUCACUCUAGUGAUUGUACCACACAUAAGAACUUAAUUCGGAGCUUACCGACCUCAGAAAGAGGUAGACAUGUCACCAAGAUGAGACAACGACCUCUCAUACUAUGGAUGACAUAUUUAGUCUCCUCUAGAGUAUUAAAUAAGUGUGCAGAAAACUUGAUUACUGUGACAUACACGAUAAGCAGGAUAUGGAUUAAACAUGUCAUCCAUUAAAAUACGACACACUAAACAAGAAGGCUCACAUAAGAUCUAAUGGGACUUGACAUAGGAGACCAUCAGAAUAACCAACCAGUAUAUAUAUCGCUAAUCUAAUCCAAAAUAAAGGGGCUGAUACUCUCUCUCUUUAUCUGAAGAACUAAUUUUUUAAAAGUUAGUCUUUCUCUUCUCUGUGCCUCUGCAGAAGAAUCCUAAAGCUACAUGCCUUCUGAGAGUUUUCUCUUGAAUGCUUGAUUAUUUCUUUUCUCUUUGCAUUAGUGAAUUUUGAAUAAUCCUUAAUUUAAUAUGAGUGCCGGAGGGUCUCCACCGAAUACAUUUCCAAUAGAUUCCUUAAUCGCUUUCUACUUUUUUUUUGAAAUAGGGGUUGGGGGAAUCGCUUUCUACUUUAUAAGUCCCCUUCCUCAACAUCAAACAUGGAGAGAUCUAAUGAAAUCAAUUACGGAUUAACGAUCAAUCUGUGAAAUCGAGCCGCUAUCUAGAUGUCCGCAUCUGGACAACUCACUAAAUCUCAGACAUAUCAUAAAUUCAAUUUUUUUUUCUUUAUUUUUGUGCACUCUUCUUUUUUUAUCAGUUCAUUUAUUCUCAUUUUCAUUAUUUUCAUUUUUAUCAUUGUUUUCUCAUAUUCAUCUUCCACCAUAUUUCAUCAAAAUUUUUUAUCAAAUUUCCCUCUUUGUUUUCUCGUGUUCUUCAUUUUUAUUGAACUUUUUGCUUAUCAUUAUUUUGCACCUCAUUUUCAUUUUCUUUCAUUUUUUUCUACAAUUUUCCCUUAUAUUAUUUUUCUUUAAUAGUAAGAUAGUAUAUUUUCUAAACUUUUAGAAAAAUUCUUUGAAAUUGUAUAAAUUUUUGAUAUUUUUCUAAAAGUUUUUAUGAAUAUAUUUGUUUAAUGAUUUUAUUAGCAUAUGUAAGUGUCCCGUUAAUUGCUUCUAUUUUAAAUUAAUAUAAAAAUUUAAUAAAUUUUUUUCACUCGUGAUUAAAUCUAAAACAUGAAAAAUUUAUCAAAGGUAUACUCAAAAUCAAACAGAUUUACCUUACUAAUAUAUUAUUUUUAUCUCAAAUUAAUAUUGAAUUUUUUUAAAAAAAAGCCUUCUUCGUUCCCUAUAACACGUGAUCUUUACUUUCAAUUUAUAUUUUAUUAAUUUUUCUUUAAAACACAUGACAUAUUUAAAUAUUAUUAUCUUAUUGAAUAAGUUCAAUAAAUUUAAUUUUAUAAAAUAAAUAAAAAAUUAAAAGGAAAGAAAUAGAAAAAACAAUGAAUCUCAAUUUAAUUCAAUUUCUGCUUAAAAUUAAUUUGAUUUCUUAUUAAUAAUUAAUAAUUUAACAAUAAUAAUUCUAAAUAAUGCACUAAUUUUAAAAUUAAAAUACACUUUAUAUUUUAUAUAUUUCAAUAAUUUUCUUUCCAAAUUUAAAUUAAUCUAAGAAUAUUUUACAAUGAGUGAAAUAUUGUAAUCAUUUAUUACUAAAGGUUUUAUAUUUAUUUCUUAAUGAGUAAAAUAUUUUUUUAGAUGAUUUUUUUUAAUUAAAAAUUAUUUUUAUUAUUAUUUUAAUAAUAAUAAUUAAAAAUUAUUAUUUUAAUUUUUAAGAAAUGAUGAAUUUGUGAGUUUUAUUCAUUAUUUUUUAAUUGAAUAAUUUUAAUUUUUAAAUAUAUAAAAUUAAUAUUUUGCAUAAAAAUUAAUAAUGAAUCAUUUAAUUUUUUUUAAAAAUUAAUUUUUAUGUUAUGUAAGUAUAAAAUGACAGAUUUAAAAAGUAAAUAUUAAUUUUUAUACUUAAUUAAAAAAUUAAAAAUUAAUUUUAUGCUUAAAAGUGUAUUUAAAUUGUUUUUUAUAUGUAUAAAAUUUAACUAUAAUUAAAAAUUAAUUUUUAUACUUAUAUAUUAUAAUUAGAAUCUGCAUAAAUUAAUUUUUAUAAGUAUAAAAAUUAUAGAAUAUCAGUUUUUAUAUUUUAAAAAUUAAAAUUAUUUAUAAUGAUAAAAAAUAUAAUAUAAUAAUAAAUAAAAACCAUAAAUUUAUCAAUUUUUAAAAAUUAAAAUAAUAAUUUCUCAAUUAUUUAUUAUUAAAACAAUAAAUAAAAAUAAUUUUUUAUUAAAAAAAUUGACCACUUCAAAAAAUGUUUUGGUCAUUAAAAAAUAUAAAAUCUUUAAUUAAUGGUCAACUGACAAUAAUUUAUACCUCGGAAGAAUUAUUUUAUUAAACAAAAAUUAAAUUUAAGUACUAAUUUAUUAUUAAAAAUUUAUUGAAAGAUUAUUUGAUGAGUUUUGUGGGAUGGCUCCAUUUAAAUUAUUUAUUUUUAAUUAUUAUUUAAAUAAUAUUACUGGCCUAUUCAAAGCCUGUUCAUGUUAAAUUGAUUUACAUAUUUUAUCUAAUUUAUAUAAUUUUUUAUUAGUUAAUCAAUAAAUAAUUAUUUUAUAUUUAAUUAAAUAUAUUAAAUUCUAACUUUACUUCUCUUUUUUAGUUUGAAUCUAUUAUUAAUUAGAAUUAUUUUUUUAAUUUAAAAAAAAAUAAAAAUUAAACAUAUUUUUACACUUAUAGUAUAUUUUAUAAAUAUAUUAUUUUAUUUUUUAUAAUUAUUUCAGGUACAAUAAUAUUUUAAUUUCUGUAAAAUUAAAAUUAACCACAUUUAUGAAAAAAAUUCAAAUUAAUAUAUAUAAAUUAUUUUAAUUUUAAUUCAAAUUAAUUUUAUGACAAGUUAAUGGGUGAUUUUAAUUGGAUUGAAUGAUUUGGAAUUUAAAGUAGAUAUUGGGGAAGGUAAAAAGAGGAAAAAUAAUAGUAGGGGAAAGCUGUAAAAGUAAAAUGUAGUAAAUAUUUGCAAGGCUUUGAAUACAUGGAAAGCAACAUCUGCGUCCUGGCUCUCUUUAUUGUCUUUCGCAGGAAAAGGAAAGCUAACAUGUCCCCAUUCAGAAAAUCAAAGUCUGCCAUUUUUUCUUUUGGUUGGAGAAACAAAGCAAGCAAGCAAGAAAGAAAUCAGUGAGAGAGAGUGAAAAUUACACUAACACACCCAGACUAUCACUUAGCAUGAUAAGGUUACAAUAUCACGACGUGCAUGUCACGCGACACUCAGAAGCACUGAAUAAUUGCUCUCAGAGGGGGAAGGAUUAAGCAAUAAGCAUAGCAUGCAAUGCAAAGGAGUGGAGAGAAAGAAAAGAAAAGAAAAGAAAAGAAAACUUGGAAAGCUAAGUUGCGCAAGUCCUAGAAAAGGACAAUGGCAGUGAGACAGAGGGCUGCAUGUAAUAAUAUUAUCGUCUUCAUCGAUCAUCUUCUCCUUUUAUCUGUGAAAAACGUGAAAGCCACCAAUCGUUGGCGCAUGAUCCAAGAUAAUCAUUUAUCAGUCACACUCUACCCUACCCAAAAAUAUCCUCUCUAUAUGGGAAAAUUUUUUAUUUGGACAUUUUAGUUUCAGACACUGUGUGUGUGUGUGUGAGAGAGAGAGAGAUUUGUAUAUGAAAUGAAUGCUACAUUUAUGGUGACGAGAGACAUUUCAUUACAGGAACUGCCAAGUUGUUAUUGUUGUUGCUUCAUUUGUCUUACUUAUAUUUGACAGCUUUGAUGCCUCCAAUAUUUCUCCAUCUUCUUGUAGGCCACCCAGCCCAGAAACCCUUCCUUUUUCAUUUAUGCUUUGUUCUGUGUUUUAUGUGUUUAAGGACAUACCUACCUUUAAAGUCCUAAUUAGCCCUUGAAAAUAGACUUUAGGACCAUGCUUUUAGAAGAGGUUUUAGGGUAAGGAUUAUCACUCUUCUCCUAGGUUUCUGUUUUUAUUUUUCUUUUUUCCCGGCUUUCUAGUUGCUUUUCUUUAAGAGCUGAGAUGUCACCUAAUUUUACAUAUGAAGUGAAUAAGAGAAUUCAGAAAAUUUUUAGUGUCAUCAUCAGCUUAGCAAAUCAAAAGUAAAAUAAACUUAAUAUUUUAUGUGUUGACAGCAUUCACUGGUACGAAUGCAAGACAAGUUAUAUUGAACAUGAAUGAUUUUUUUUUUUUUUUCUUUUGUAAGUUGAUCAUGAUUGAUUGCGCAUGGUUUGAUACAAAAGAAAAGGGUCCCAUUGAAUUAAAAAGGGAAGUACCCUACACACUCUAUAUUCCAUAAAUAACAAGACAGAAGAGGACAGCACAGUAUUUGCUAUGAUUGAUGUUACUGAAGAGUCUCAAUUUUAGAAGAUGGCCAAUCACAUUAUCGUCUUCAUUCUGCAACUCAUAUGGGUUUAAUAUUCCAAUGAAUUUCACUCCAUAUAUACCAAAUUCAAAAAUAAAAUGAUUGUUCAUUUGCAAGCAAGGUUACCCAUAUGGAUUUUCCCAUAAAAAAAAAGUCAUUAACUUUUUAAAAAAUCAAGAAUAAAUAUCAACUAAACAGACACAGUUAUCAUUUUUUUUUUUUUUAAUUUUAAGUUUUUUAACUAGUUAGAAAACCAACCAAAAAUUUUUGGAAAAAGAAAGCCAGGAGUGGGUUAUGGAUCACACCAACUAAGCUAAUGGUAGGGCCUAUAGCACUUUUUUCUCUCUAGUGGUGAUUACGACUUGGCAAGUGGAGCAAGAGGGAGUGUCAAUAUCAACACUCAACCUUGAAAUUGGGUUAUGAAACUUUCUCUAAUUUAUAUGCUUUUUAGAUAAAAAAUUUUUUAAAAAAAUUCCAACAUUCUGUUAUUCCUUCCAGAAAUCAAAAUUCCCUUUUUCAUAAAAAUCCCAUAUCCCUUCUCUGAAUCAUUAUUUGGGAAUGAUCAUCACCUACUAGCAGUUUCAAUUCCUUGGACAAAAAGAAAAAUGGCUAAAUCACAAACCCUAAUUCCAUAUAUCUAACUAGGGAAAGUACACUCACUUGGGCAAGUCCAAAGAUCUGUUUAAAAGGCAUUAUUAUGAGAUUAUCAAUAAAAAAAAACUGCUUUAAUUAUUAUGUCAUGAAAAAAUUGGACUACUCUCCCAAAUUCUUGGAAAUAAGCUCUAUUGGCCUUAACAAGAACUAGAACACAGCAAUUUUAGACUUGUGUAGAAACUAGGUAGCUAUAGCUAAUAACAAGAACUAUAAUGAGAGGUGAGGUCAUUGCUUAGCCAAUCUCUUUGUGAUAUUGAAAAUAUUGCUUUUCUUUUUCUUUUCUUAUUUUUUUUUUUAUAUACAAGGAAAAGCUAUUCCAAUUGCUAUUCUCUUUCAGUCAUUUUCUAUGUUUAGCUGUAGAGUGUCACUGUUUGUCAAAACAGUGGCUACAUGCACACACCCAAUUCAUCUCCAACACAUACUGCCUGGAGCUUUCUCCUUCCUUUCAAGUUGCUCUACUUGAUUCCUACCUUUUCUAUAUCUCACUUUGAUUGCUUCUCUUUCUCAUACAUUUUCUUCAGUAAUCAAGUUUUUUUGAUCUUGUUAUAUUUUUAACUAUAUUGUUUUUUAAUUCCAUGGAGGUUAAUUCAAUGAUUCUUAUAUUUAAUUAAGACUUAGCAACUGUGCAGUAUGUAUGAUUAAAAAACAUAAUAGGUAAUAAAAAGAAAAGAGCUUAUAUUCAAAUUCUAAAGUUAUUUGAAAGUUAUAGAAUUUAGCAUCCCUCUUUGCAACUGUGCUCCAGUGAUGCAACAGGGCCAAGUACGUCCAGAUAUGGUGACCUAAGAGCCCACGUCACUGAUUCUUGCCUUUAUUUUGAGGGAAAUUGGCCAUUUUUCAAAUUGGGCUUUGUAUAAUUUCUAGAAUUGGGCUCAUCUUGUAGGACCCUGCCCAGCUUAUUCUGAAUCUCUAGUUUCUUCUCUCUGAUCUGAUUUUUGGGUUUUAGGGUUUCACAAUGAUUCACUGUGUAGAUUUACAUCAGAGAAGAUUAUCAUUUAGUCCUUUAGCUUAAAGUAAAAAGUCAGAUUUGCUCCCUAAGAAUACUGCGGGAAAUCCUUCACUAGUUCCUCGUGCAAUGCACAUGCAUCUGUAAGCAAUGGCGCCCUCUCAUUACUAACCCUAAUUUCAUUUCCACCCACCUCCUCCCCAACCCUUCUCCUCCCACAUUGGCUCUCCGACCGCCGUCAUUUCCUCGUUAAUUACCAAAACGCCUCCCCUGGAAAGAGGUUGUCUGGAGGGAGAUUAAAGCUGACAACUUCGAGGAUUCCAUCUGAGAGAUCUGGGGUCACAGUGUUCUAUGAAUGAAAGUUCAAUGUUUGGUAAUUAAUUACAUCAACAAAAUAAUUUAUUUGUUUAAAAUUCUUUAUUAAUUAGUAAAAGUUAAAUAAUUAAAAAUUCUUCUCUAUUUUUAAUUGAAUUAAUUUGAUUGUUAUAUUUUUUAAACACAUAAUUUAGUAAAUUAAAUUAGAAUUUAUAAAAAAAUAUUUUUAUUUCACUAUAAAGAAUUUGAUUAUUUUUAUUAAUUUGUGUAAUUCAUGAACUUGCUUAAGCUAACUAUAGUGAUUGAGAUUUUUUUUUAUUUUUUGAUUAUAUUUCUGAGUUAAUUGUUAUUGAAAUUUAAUAAAAUUUAUGUUUUUAUUAAAAAAAUAAAGGAUUUGAUUUUUUUUAUAAUAUGCUAUUAUUUUUAAUAAAAUUUUAUAUUUUAUUAUGAAUAUAUUUUUAUAUUAACAUCUAUAUAUUCACAAAUAAAUUAAAAAAUAUAUACAUAUAUUAUAGAAUUAUAAAUUAUUCUCAUUCAAAUUUAAUAUAUAUUUUAUAUCAAUUUAUAUUAUUAGUCUUCUGAUUGAAUUUUUAUAUUGGAGGUAGUGUUAAAUACUACCAUAAAAAUAUUUUUGUUAAAUUACAUAAAUAUUUAAAAAUUUGAAAUAAUAUCUUAUUGUAAUUUUAAAAUAACGAGGAUAAUAAUAAUAAUAAAAGAAAAUUACUAGAUUUGGUAACUUUGUCAUGCUGACUUGGCUAUUUGCUUAGUCAACAUAUAGAGCUCCGAAACCUAUAAUUUCUUCACAUUUGCCUCCUUGGAUCCUAAGACUGGGCGCCAUUUUUUUAUUUUUCCUUUUUCUGCAAAAACCUGACAUGAAAAUUUUCCCUUUCCCUCUCUUUCCCAGAAAAAGAUUUUCAACUAAAAAAGAAAUGAAAUUUCAAUCCACCCGCCUACGCACUCAAACUCAAAAUCCAAAUCCCAAAACUCAAAAAUCAAUUUUACCAUCAUCCCUCCAAAUCCAAAGUGAACAAAUUCAUCUCUACCUCACUACAUAUACUCUUCCUCUACCUCUUGAAUCCUUCACCAGCUGCUCGACAAAUUUACCCAAUGGAGUUCACCGCCAAACUCUGUGACCACCACAGCAACAAAGAGAAUAUCCCACCUUUCUCUGCAAAACCAGCCAACCCAAUUCCUGCAAGUGUGGCUUCUUCCAAGAAAAAGUUCAGAAGAAGGAUUAGAGAGCCUCUUGAGGACAUUACAUACUUCUAUAGAAGUUCUGUUCAGUUAGCUUUAGCUCAGGAGGAUGAUUCUUUGUCAGCUAUAUCUGUUUCAGGUAGUGCAUCAAAUUCUAAGAAGAGAAAAGCAUCUGAUCAGGAGAAUGAAGAUACAGGAGCUGUUGCAGGCCCCAGCUCUAAGUCAUUAAGAUUUGGAUUCAGAUAGGAGAUGGUUGCCAUUGUUGGGCUAGAUUGCUAAUUGGGUAGGUGGAAAAAUUCAUAAUCUAGAUUUUAGAUUUAAAUUCAAAGGUUGAAAACCCAUCAACAAUUGUUCUAUAUACAUACAUCAUUACAGAUUUAAAUUCAAAGGUUGAAACAUUUACAUUCUAAUUUUCAUACUAGAUUUGAAUCUGAAAUUAGUUUUUCAAAAAUUCUAUGAUAUCAGAAAGCACUAAAUUUCUUAGUGAGAGAAAAUAAAAAAAAGACAAUUAACCGUUUAAUAAAGCUGUACACGAACAGAGAUCAAUACCAUUUUUAAUUAAUUUAAAGUAAAUUAAAGCUUACAUAUUCAAGGAAGAUUGCUUGAUGCUGUACGUAUAUACGUACACAUCAUAGCAUUAGCAAUACAAGUGGCUAAGAUACAGACAAAUUAGUAAGAAUAACUUCACAUGUGGAUAUGAAACUUAGGAUUCUUCGAGAAAUUCAUAAGACACAUUGGGUGCUGGGAUGGCUUUGGCAAUUGGUGCUGAUUGAGCUCAGCUGAGUGUACAAUACAUCGUCUUAAUUAACUAGCAUAAUGAUGGCAGCACCACCUGCAUUCAUAUAGUAAUUAGUUCAAAAUAAUUAAUUAAUAAGUACACCAUUGAUAUAAUACAGUAGAAGUGUAGUUUUGGUUAUAGGUAAUUACGUAUACAAGUGCCUUAGUGGGCUUUCAAUAAAAUAUUAUAUCUUAGUCAAAACCUUAUCUUCAAUUAGUUUUCUUCCUAUACUUUUAGGAUAAUGGAUAAAACAUCACCUAGUUUUCUUCCCACCACAAAAUCAAUAGCAACAGCAAUAGUUUGAGUGAGCUCUAUCGUUCUCUCGCAUUAAUCUCCGUCACUGUGGAAUGAAAAUUAUGAGAUGAAAAAGGGUAUAAUUUAAUGAAAAUUUCAAGGCUACAGGAGCACUACACUAAACAAAUUGGUGAGUGCCAUGUAUGGAUAACCUUAUUACUUAUCAAUCAUUUAUUGGUCAACUGUAAAACAUUACUACAAAUUGUUUGAUAUUUAUCCCUUGAUUGAGUAAAGUUCUCUUCCUAAUUUUCUAACAAAUAGCUACAUUAGUAGCACAUAGCUGAUAUCCGCUGGUGAAUUUUACUUGUAAAAUUAGGUAUUUGAAUUCUAGACUUGUCAUUGUUGAUGAAAGUAAUUUAUUUAGAUACUGCUUCCAAGAACUCAAAUUUCAGUGAGUCAUUUCAUGAAAAAAAGAAAAAAAGAAAAAAAAUGAUAUUUGCUUUAAUAUCACUUGGAUUCAUAGUGAAUCGGAUCCAUUUAAAUUUUUUUUUUUUUAAAAAGUGCUCUCUUAAUUUUAAUUAAUUGCAUAACUUGCAAGACCAACCAACCCUAGUUUUCAUCUCAUUCCCCAUUUCUCUCUGUGUUGCAUGCGUAUUCAUGUGACUGCAACUUUGCUCGAAUUUAAUUGCUGAUUAGUGGCGAUCAUAGUCAUCUAAAUUGAAUCCUUAAUGAUGUUCACAAAAAUCCAAAGAACUAAAAAAGUUCUUGCCUUUGGAGCUAUACUAAAAGAUAAUACAAACAACAGCUGCUGAACUCAAAAGGUUUUGACAUCAUAAACAUUGAACAUAGUUGACCUUUCGGAGCUUACAAGGUUGAAGGCAAGCUCAAAACUUCCAUUCUUAUGAGCUCUUCAGCAUCACAAAGUGUUAAACAAGGACAAAAAGAAUAAGCAGAUGAUGACUAGACACACACUCAUGGUUAAGGACUUGAGAAUCCUCUCAAGGAUUAAUGGAAUAUUAAUGAAUCUCUAUAUACCCAUGAAAAAAAAGUUUCUAAAUUUAUAUUCAGUUAAGGAAAUCAAUCUAACUUGGUGAAUCAGAAAGCUCAUAACUGAAUAGAUAUUGGCUGCACAUGCAUGUACAUGAACUUCAUUCUUCUUGUACUAUUAGGCGACAUUGGCCACCACCCACCACCACAAAACGAGAAAAAAGCAACAGGGUAUGCUCAUUUCGCCAAUAUAUUCUGACUCCACUUAUUAUAAAUAAUGGGUUAGAGGAUUCUUUCAACUAUUAUAUAAGGGAGGUCUUCUUUGAAUCUCUGCACAAACUAGCCUUUUUUCGAGACCUUUAGCUGUAGCUGGCUAGCUAGAAGAGGCAGUGAAUUAACAAUGGCGAGUUAUUUGAAGUUUUGGGUUUACAUUGUUAUCUUCUUGCUUCCAUUUGCCGAGUUAGAAAGUAGAGUUCUUGUGCCUUACGCUGAUCAUCGCCAUGAGAGGAAGAACUUGACCACAGUUUUUCAAGAACUGCAAGAAAUAUCAAAAGCAUUGAAGGUGAGAUUGGAGAAUGAAAUGGCGGAUGGAGAAUACUUUAACGAAUCUAAGAGGAUUAGUCCAGGAGGUCCAGACCCUAAACAUCACUAGAUAUUGAUCACCCUUCAUCGAUCUUCUUUAUGCUUUUUUUUUUUUAAAAAAAAACACUCUUCUUUAUACUUUGAAGAAGUUGAAACAGAGGGAGAUGAAUGGAAGUCAACGUGAGGUCUAAUUUCUUUGGCUUAAUUAAGGUUUAGUUUAUGACGUCAAGUCAUUGACUUUUAAUGCUAGCUUUGUAACCUCGUGUUCUAGUGGAAAAGUUAAAAAGAACAGAAAAUUAUCUCCCUUUUGUGCUUAAUUAAUUAAUUGAUUGACGAUGCGGAUAUCUUGA